Molecule: long non-coding RNA, 202 nt
Filed under: Elaeis guineensis (African oil palm)
Lineage: Eukaryota; Viridiplantae; Streptophyta; Magnoliopsida; Arecales; Arecaceae
Description: long non-coding RNA (EGUI_LNC017254)
Source: RNAcentral
UAGUUGUCUUUUUUUUAAGUGCCAAUCUUCUCUCCUGUGGUAUUUUUCUAUAAAAAUUAUCGACCUUCAAUUAUCUUCUUUUUGAGCGUCGGUCUUACUACAAUCAUCAUUUUCUAUAUCUUUUCACACUCACGUCAUCCAAGUAAGCCACACUAGCAAACAUAUCAAUUUAUCAAACUAACUUCUAAAUAAAUUCAUGAUC